Long non-coding RNA from Coffea arabica (coffee), 963 nucleotides. RefSeq lists it as uncharacterized. The record is from RefSeq and is a predicted model, not a curated record. Lineage: Eukaryota; Viridiplantae; Streptophyta; Magnoliopsida; Gentianales; Rubiaceae.
CAUUCCUGCCCAAUAGUACUCCAUUAACAUUGUAGACAUAUGGCCGGCCAACCUUCGACCCAUGGCAACUGACGCCCAGGCACGGCCCAAAGCUAAUUAACCUAAUUGAAGCCUAAACCCAUCGCACAGCCUAAGCGAGAACCCGAACCUAUUUGCUCUGGACGCCGGCCGACGAAAAUGUUGAUCGGAGCAGCUUUCUGCCAAGAGAUGGCUAGACAGAAAACCAUGAUGACGGCGGGUGAUGCAUUUUCUUCUCCAUUCUCCCAGCAUAUAGGAAUGGCAAGGAACUUCAGUGUUUUGGCGGAGGAGAAGCGCUGUAUGAAAGAUCACAACCGCCGGUUAAUGGCUGAGAAAUUCGAAGUGAAGCGAAAGCUUUACAAAGCCCUCGUUAGAGAUCCUGAACUUCCGAAUGAGCUGAAGGAGAAGCACCGCUAUAAGCUGGCCAAGUUGCCCAGAAACAGCUCCUUUACCCGGAUUCGAAAUCGUUGUAUUCUCACUGGUCGCCCACGCGCCGUCUAUCGGCUAUUUCGGAUGUCUCGUAUUUGCUUCCGCGAAUUAGCUUCGAGGGGUGCCUUGAUGGGCAUCAAGAAAGCUUCUUGGUAGAACCAAAUUUAUAGCCUUUAUGUCAGUGUUGCUAUAUGAAACAAGAGUCUGAACUGGAAUGUCAAAAUCUCUCUACAGAGAUGGGAGUUGUGGCACGUCUUUUUGGAAGAUAAUGAGCAGCUUCAAUCAUUUCGGCUUGGGAUAUUUUGUUGCAAUUGAAUGUCCAUCCUGUCUAUGUAUAAUGCUUUUCGAGAUUCUUGGGUUGUAAUCAGGAGACUGGAUCAGAUUUUUCUCUGCUUUCUUAUUUGCCAUAGUAUCAAGCUGCUGCUAUAUUUUCUUGGGUUAUGUAUCCUUGUUAAAAUUCUUAUCUUGUGAUUACAAUGCUGCUCCUUGGUUAAACUUUCAGCAAUUUUUUUGUUU